UCUUGUUUAGCUCAGUUCGUACAGCACUCUACUGGAAAUGGAGAGGUCCCUUGUUCGAUACUAGGACCAGGCG
RNAcentral lists this transfer RNA (73 nucleotides) under Ixodes scapularis (black-legged tick). RNAcentral's name for it is "tRNA-Ser for anticodon GGA". Lineage: Eukaryota; Metazoa; Arthropoda; Arachnida; Ixodida; Ixodidae. The record is from RNAcentral.